RNAcentral lists this unclassified non-coding RNA (810 nucleotides) under Hevea brasiliensis (rubber tree). The record is from RNAcentral. Lineage: Eukaryota; Viridiplantae; Streptophyta; Magnoliopsida; Malpighiales; Euphorbiaceae.
AUCAUUAAAAACUGACUUGUGCUGUUACACUAAAAAGGCUGUGAAGAAGCCGAGAAAAACUAAAGCUCAUACAAAAGCCCAUUGGUCCACAAAUUAGAAAACCCUGGAGCUAAGACUAAGAAAAUUGAGAAGACCAACUACGAACGCCGCCAUCAUGCAUCUUCAACAACGAAACAAGCAGGACCACAAACUGAAGUAUGAAAAUGGCAUCAUGCCAAAGAGUCAAGUCGUGGUCCAGGAAAAUAGAGAAACCCACAGCUAGACAUUCUCCUCGCCCAUUUCUCGACCUUCCCAGCUGAUGAGGGAUAGAAAAACUGGCAAUUUUUGGUACAUAUUAGAGCUCACGGCGUUGCACACGCCUGAAGGGUCGGCCAUCGGACAAACAGCGGUCGAUUAACGUAGUGGCCCCAGAGAUGCCAGGCACAGGAAUAAGCUAAAAAAACCCUCCAUAGCCCAAUUAAAGAUGAAGCUCUCUCAAAGUAACACUGGACUUGCAACUCAAACCAAUACAAUUAAAAGAAUAUGUACAGCUCAACCCGAAGGUGAGGAGGGCGAAACCCAUAUCUAAGUUAACGAGGAGCCAUCCCUUGCCUGGAAGGGAUAGUGGACGGCUGCAAGUGACGACCAAAGACAAGGGUAAAGGACCCUAAAAAGACUACGAAAAGAGAGAAAUUUCUCUCCAUCUGCUUCUUUCUGGUUGAAGAAAAUAUUGGAAAUGUGGCCGGUACUUGUCACUUAUUUUGUAUUUAUUUAGGACAUUUGUUUAGGAAUUUUUGUGUGCAUAUCUGUUCUUACCUUUUGUUGUAUGAU